GGGGGCGAUCGGUUUCGACGGAUGGUCGAGGACGCUCACUGCGUGCCGAGGUGCCGGAUCCUCGCAAAACUUGCGGCAAAGCCAAUCUAAUUGGCGACAACACUCUCGCUCUCGCUGCCUAGCUAAUACCUAGAGCAACGAGCACGCCCGCGCCCGAUGUCUGCUGAGGCGCGGGGGUGUCAUACCAGCAGGCUGGUCCAAGCCCUCGUCGGGGGGAGGCGGACGAGAAAACACCCGACUCGCGAUCGGCCCGGCGAGCACCGAAGCCAAGCCGAUCGCUAAAUCAAACACGGGGCUACGCACGUAGACGUGGGCGGAAGAAGCCAUUCGGACCCGGGUUCAAUUCCCGGCGCCUCCAG
This 359-nucleotide transfer-messenger RNA is filed under the name Deltaproteobacteria bacterium. It matches the Rfam family "transfer-messenger RNA". From Rfam's summary of the family: Bacterial tmRNA, also known as 10Sa RNA or SsrA, is named for its dual tRNA and mRNA-like properties. Its role is to liberate the mRNA from a stalled ribosome. To accomplish this part of the tmRNA is used as a reading frame that ends in a translation stop signal. The record is from RNAcentral. Lineage: Bacteria; Pseudomonadati; Myxococcota; Myxococcia.